This 911-nucleotide ribosomal RNA is filed under the name uncultured archaeon. RNAcentral's name for it is "bacterial SSU rRNA". It matches the Rfam family "Archaeal small subunit ribosomal RNA", at positions 4 to 921 of the family's 1478-position model. The record is from RNAcentral.
CCGGUUGAUCCUGCCGGAGGCUACCGCUAUUGGAGUUCGAUUAAGCCAUGCGAGUCGCGAGUCUUAGGGACUCGGCGUACCGCUCAGUAACACGUGGGUAACCUGCCCUAUGCUGGGGGAUAACCUUGGGAAACUGAGAAUAAUACCCCAUAGUUCACCACGCCUGGAACGGUGGGUGGACCAAAGCUCCGGCGGCAUAGGAUGGGCCUGCGGCGUAUCAGGUUGUAGGGGGUGUAAUGUACCCUCUAGCCCUCUACGCGUACGGGUGUUGAGAGACAUCGCCCGGAGAUGGAUUCUGAGACACGAAUCCAGACCCUACGGGGUGCAGCAGGCGCGAAAACUUGGCAAUGCGAGAAAUCGUGACCAGGGAACUCCAAGUGCAUCGGGUAAGACCGAUGCUUUUCUUGACUCUUCAAAGGUCUUGGAAUAAGGGGUGGGUAAGGACGGUGCCAGCCGCCGCGGUAAUACCGGCGCCCCAAGUGGUAGUCGCUUUUAUUGGGCCUAAAACGUCCGUAGCCGGUCUGGUACAUUCGUGGGUAAAUCAACCAGCUCAACUGGUUGAAUUCUGCGAGCACGGCCAGACUUGGGACCGGGAGAGGUGUGGGGUACUCUCAGGGUAGGGGUAAAAUCCUGUCAUCCUGAGAGGACCACCUGUUGCGAAGGCGCCACACUAGAACGGAUCCGACGGUCAGGGACGAAGCCUAGGGGCACGAACCGGAUUAGAUACCCGGGUAGUCCUAGGUGUAAACGCUGUGGACUUGAUGUUGGGGGCGCUCCGAGCGCACUCAGUGUCGAAGCGAAGGUGAUAAGUCCACUGCCUGGGGAGUACGGUCGCAAGGCUGAAACUUAAAGGAAUUGGCGGGGGAGCACCGCAACCUGAGGAUUGUGCGGUUUAAUUGGAUCAACGCCGG